GAACCGCUUCGGUGGUGGAUUAGUGGCGAACGGGUGAGUAACACGUGGGCAAUCUGCCCUUCACUCUGGGACAAGCCCUGGAAACGGGGUCUAAUACCGGAUAACACUCUGUCCCGCAUGGGACGGGGUUGAAAGCUCCGGCGGUGAAGGAUGAGCCCGCGGCCUAUCAGCUUGUUGGUGGGGUAAUGGCCUACCAAGGCGACGACGGGUAGCCGGCCUGAGAGGGCGACCGGCCACACUGGGACUGAGACACGGCCCAGACUCCUACGGGAGGCAGCAGUGGGGAAUAUUGCACAAUGGGCGAAAGCCUGAUGCAGCGACGCCGCGUGAGGGAUGACGGCCUUCGGGUUGUAAACCUCUUUCAGCAGGGAAGAAGCGAAAGUGACGGUACCUGCAGAAGAAGCGCCGGCUAACUACGUGCCAGCAGCCGCGGUAAUACGUAGGGCGCAAGCGUUGUCCGGAAUUAUUGGGCGUAAAGAGCUCGUACGCGGCUUGUCACGUCGGAUGUGAAAGCCCGGGGC
Molecule: ribosomal RNA, 521 nt
Filed under: Streptomyces sp. KLBMP 2068
Lineage: Bacteria; Bacillati; Actinomycetota; Actinomycetes; Kitasatosporales; Streptomycetaceae
Description: bacterial SSU rRNA
Rfam family: Bacterial small subunit ribosomal RNA
Source: RNAcentral